RNAcentral lists this transfer RNA (77 nucleotides) under Thermofilum adornatum 1505. Its description in RNAcentral is "tRNA-Arg (CCG) (tRNA-Arg-CCG-1-1)". It matches the Rfam family "tRNA". Rfam says of the family: Transfer RNA (tRNA) molecules are approximately 80 nucleotides in length. Their secondary structure includes four short double-helical elements and three loops (D, anti-codon, and T loops). Lineage: Archaea; Thermoproteati; Thermoproteota; Thermoprotei; Thermofilales; Thermofilaceae. The record is from RNAcentral. RNAcentral also lists the same sequence under 2 other names.
GGGCCCGUAGCGCAGUCAGGAAGCGCGGCGGCCUCCGGAGUCGCAGGUCCCGGGUUCAAAUCCCGGCGGGCCCGCCA